This is a long non-coding RNA of Bombyx mori (domestic silkworm), 444 nucleotides long. RefSeq lists it as uncharacterized. The record is from RefSeq and is a predicted model, not a curated record. The transcript has 2 exons. Lineage: Eukaryota; Metazoa; Arthropoda; Insecta; Lepidoptera; Bombycidae.
UCUAUGUCAGGAUUGUAGUUAUGUAUCCUAUGGCCUUGGUAACAGCUUAACCCAAACUUCCUUGUCUACCCAUUAAAAAUAAAAAUAAUUUUGAACAGUGGGAAAUAGCAAAAAAAAAACAGUAUUUAAGCAAUAUGAGGAAAAACUUAACAAUUUGUUUUUAUGAGUCAAGGAAAAGGAAAUAGAUUUUUUUUUAUUUGGUAAAGUGAAGGUAAAAAUCUCAAAAAUGAAAGUUUGAUACUUACCAAUCAUCAGACGUACAGUUUCAGGAUUAAAUGGAUUCCAUGUUCCAUUGGACAGAGCCUGUUGCAGUUCAUCAGCAGAUAUGUAACCACUUCUAUCUUUGUCAACACUGGAAAGAACAAAUCAGAUUUCUGUCAAUGCUUUAGUAAAUCAUGAAAAAAAAGCAUAAUGCAUUUAUUUAAAAACAAGUGUAUCUGAAAA